RNAcentral lists this long non-coding RNA (823 nucleotides) under Musa acuminata (dwarf banana). RNAcentral's name for it is "long non-coding RNA (MACU_LNC004295)". The record is from RNAcentral. Lineage: Eukaryota; Viridiplantae; Streptophyta; Magnoliopsida; Zingiberales; Musaceae.
UUUGAAGUCCCUAAAUUUGUAUCAUGAAUACAAGGAAGGUCAGAUGUCACACUCCAAGGGUCCAUUUUUGAGUUUCAAAAUUGGAAUAGUUGUUGGGAUGUAGCAACCUUGUGGCUGUGCCAAGCCUUGCCUUGUAUUCAUGAUACUUUCUUCUGUGUCCACUUAUGUAAGAUGUUUUCACUAUAACGUGUUGCAUGCAAAGACUAGCUUUUAAAUACCGAAUGAUAAAUUUGGAUUCACACUCCAAGGGUCCAUUUUUGCAUUUCAAAAUUGGAAUAGUUGUUGGGAUGUAGCAACCUUNNNNNNNNNNNNNNNNNNNNCCUCUGUGUCGACUUAUGUAAGAUCACUAUAACAUGUUGUGGCAAAGACUAGCUUUUAAAUACCGUAUGAUAAAUUUGGAUUCACACUCCCAAGGGUCCAUUUUGCGUUUCAAACUUGGAAUAGUUGUUGGGAUGUAGCAACCUUGUGGCUGUGCCAAGCCUUGCCUUGUAUUCAUGAUACUUUCUUCUGUGUCGACUUAUGUAAUAUGUUUUCACUAUAACAUGUAGUUUGCUAAGACUAGCUUUUAAAUACAGAAUGAUAAAUUUGGAUUCUUGACCAGAUGUUUCAUUCUUUAGGUCAUGUGUAUCAAGAUGAACAAAAAUUGAUAAUAUCUUUAGCUUCUUAAUUUCAAAAUGUUCUAUAUGGAUAUGCUUUUAAUUUUUCAUCUUUGAAACCACAUAAUUCAUCAAGGGAAGCAAGCUAUCUUCAUACUCUGAUGAUCUUAUCUCACAUCAAAAUUUUCUUUCUUCGUAUCCAAAAAAUGGACUUCUCUUGGUACAGG